Molecule: ribosomal RNA, 459 nt
Filed under: uncultured bacterium
Lineage: Bacteria
Description: partial 16S ribosomal RNA
Rfam family: Bacterial small subunit ribosomal RNA
Source: RNAcentral
CCUACGGGGAGCAGCAGUGAGGAAUAUUGGUCAAUGGGCGGGAGCCUGAACCAGCCAAGCCGCGUGAAGGAAGAAGGCGCCAAGCGUCGUAAACUUCUUUUGUCGGGGAACAAAGGGCGCCACGUGUGGCGUUGUGAGUGUACCCGAAGAAAAAGCAUCGGCUAACUCCGUGCCAGCAGCCGCGGUAAUAAGGAGGAUGCGAGCGUUAUCCGGAUUUAUUGGGUUUAAAGGGUGCGGAGGCGGUCCGGAAAGUCAGCGGGAAAAGCCCGGGGCUCAACCCCGGGGAGCCGUUGAAAGUGGCGGACUAGAGACGGCGAGAAGUACGCGGAAUGCGCGGUGUAGCGGUGAAAUGCAUAGAUAUCGCGCAGAACUCCGAUUGCGAAGGCAGCGUACCGGCGCCGGACUGACGCUGAGGCACGAAAGCGUGGGUAUCGAACAGGAUUAGAUACCCUGGUAGUC